UAAAACCAGCACCUCAAGUGGUCAGGAGGAUUAUUGGGCCUAAAGCAUCCGUAGCCUGUUCUAUAAGUUUGCGGUUAAAUCCAUAUGCUCAACGUAUGGGCUGCCGUAAAUACUGUAGAACUAGGGAGUGGGAGAGGUAGACGGUACUCGAUAGGAAGGGGUAAAAUCCUUUGAUCUAUUGAUGACCACCUGUGGCGAAGGCGGUCUACCAGAACACGUUCGACGGUGAGGGGUGAAAGCUGGGGGAGCAAACCGGAUUAGAUACCCGGGUAGUCCCAGCUGUAAACGAUGCAGACUCGAUGAUGCAAUGGCAUAGAGCUAUUGCAGUAUCGCAGGAAGCCGUUAAGUUUGCCGCCUGGGAAGUACGUACGCAAGUAUG
Molecule: ribosomal RNA, 379 nt
Filed under: uncultured crenarchaeote
Lineage: Archaea; Thermoproteati; Thermoproteota
Description: bacterial SSU rRNA
Rfam family: Archaeal small subunit ribosomal RNA
Source: RNAcentral